GCCCUGGUUGUGUAGCGGUUAGCACAUGGCCCUGUCGAGGCCAUAGCCCGAGUUCAAAUCUCGGCCGGGGCG
RNAcentral lists this transfer RNA (72 nucleotides) under Candidatus Woesearchaeota archaeon. RNAcentral describes it as "tRNA-Asp". It matches the Rfam family "tRNA". Rfam says of the family: Transfer RNA (tRNA) molecules are approximately 80 nucleotides in length. Their secondary structure includes four short double-helical elements and three loops (D, anti-codon, and T loops). The record is from RNAcentral. Lineage: Archaea; Nanobdellati; Candidatus Woesearchaeota.